ACAGCAGUGAGAGGUUCCCUGUAUCCAGCAGGCCAACCAUCCCUUCCACCCGCAGGGUGGGGCUGCAUGGAUGUGUCUCCCAUGGAGCUCUGAAAGGCUCAUUUCAGCCCCCUGCCCCAGCCUCGGGGUUCAUCCUCCAUUCUCUCUGUUUUUAGCCCUUCCCUCAGCAGCAACUUCCCCUCCUCAUUGACCCAGCCUUCCCUAGCUCCUUUCUCUAAAGUCUCCACUUCUUCUAUUUCUUCUUGAUGUGCUACUUUUAUGUUUCUUCCUCCCAAUUUCCACAUUGCCUAUGGUGGUCCAGGCCCCUAGUGCUUCUGCCCUGCCUGGUAUCUCUUCCCUUCUCCUGUCCCUUCUUAACACCUUUCCCCAGGGCCCAGCAGGCUCAGAUAUGAUGUGGGCCCAGGGAGGGAAGCUGGUCAUUCCUUCCACACUGGAGGC
This 438-nucleotide long non-coding RNA is filed under the name Homo sapiens (human). Its description in RNAcentral is "non-protein coding lnc-KRT72-1:1". Lineage: Eukaryota; Metazoa; Chordata; Mammalia; Primates; Hominidae. The record is from RNAcentral.